AGAGAGGGUUUUUACAAUGGUGGGAGAGAUAAAUAAAAGUCUUGGUGUAGUAGUGUUGUCUCAUAAUUGUACCUUUCAUGGAGGGAUUCUAGGCCGAUAUAUAGCCAUAAGAUUUGGAAUCUCCUAAGGGUCAUGCUGUAUCGCACCGAAGUUGAGCGAUUACUGCCGAGGGACAUAACCAUCAUAACCACCAUAAGAUACGAUAUAAUUGCUUAGAGCCAUUAUGGUAAUCUUUAAUUCUUGGCAUGAUGGAGGGAGCACACUUCCAUAUAAGAUGGAGAGCCACCGCCCGAGGUGAGAGGAUUCAGAUUGGUUUGGAAUAGAAGGUGACCUAAAUGGCUAUCUAUCUAAGCUAUGGAACUUUGUGUCAGGCAGCAUAUGACCUUAGAGGUCGGUUGUUUCUAAUUUCUUCAUCAUGGCUCUCAAAUUAAUCGAGGUGGAUCUAGUUUGACUAUGCAGAAUGCCACAUCAGCUUUGAGUUAGACUAAUUCGGUCAUGCCACAUUAUCAGGCUCAUUUUUUGCCACAUUACUUGCCCCCUGCUCCUGAGUUUAUGUCGUUUCUCUUGGUUUGAGUGAAGGAAUUAACUUCAUCCUCUGCUUCUAUGCUAUUUUCAUGUUGUUAAAUUUUUUGGGAGAAUGUUUUGAGGGAUGAGCUUCCUCAUUUCAAUUCUAGAAGGCUCUAUUGACUACCUAGCAAAGAAUGUUGGUAUGACACAUGUUAGCUUGCUAGGUUGGAUAGUUGAUCUGUCAGAUUAAUCCGACCUCAUCACCUCGACUCUAGUUAGAAAGCUUUGAGAUUUUAAGUUAGGCUACUUUAUCUUGAGAUUUAGGAUGUCAUGGAUUCUCCAACAGUUUUAGGCGAAGUUUCUUAAAUGGAGAUGCAGCCUGGGGAGGAAAUAAUCCAGACUUCUUCUCCUCAACCCAUCAUGCCUGAUAAAUUCAAUUUUGGCUAGUCGAUGAAUGAUACUG
This 970-nucleotide long non-coding RNA is filed under the name Phoenix dactylifera (date palm). RNAcentral describes it as "long non-coding RNA (PDAC_LNC003661)". The record is from RNAcentral. Lineage: Eukaryota; Viridiplantae; Streptophyta; Magnoliopsida; Arecales; Arecaceae.